GAUGAAGAACGCAGUGAAAUGCGAUAACUAGUGUGAAUUGCAGAAUUCCGUGAAUCAUCGAGUCUUUGAACGCAUAUUGCGCCCCCUGGUAUUCCGGGGGGCAUGCCUGUCCGAGCGUCAUUGCUGCCCAUCAAGCACGGCUUGUGUGUUGGGUCGUCGUCCCCUCUCCGGGGGGGACGGGCCCCAAAGGCAGCGGCGGCACCGCGUCCGAUCCUCGAGCGUAUGGGGCUUUGUCACCCGCUCUGUAGGCCCGGCCGGCGCUUGCCGAACGCAAAUCAAUCUUUUUCCAGGUUGACCUCGGAUCAGGUAGGGAUACCCGCUGAACUUAAGCAUAUCAAUAAGCGGAGGA
This 349-nucleotide unclassified non-coding RNA is filed under the name soil metagenome. Its description in RNAcentral is "partial contains 5.8S ribosomal RNA, internal transcribed spacer 2, and large subunit ribosomal RNA". The stretch from base 1 to 120 matches the Rfam family "5.8S ribosomal RNA", at positions 35 to 154 of the family's 154-position model. The record is from RNAcentral.